CCCAACCCAAGCCCCUUCUGUCCUCCCCCUAACCCAUUACCUAAACUAUUAAAGCCCAUGAAGCCUUCUGCUGGGUUAAGCCCAUAUCCUCUAAGGCCCAGGUCUGUUUUCAAAUCUGUUUUACAAAGCCCAAAUUUUUUGAUGUUGUUAUCAUUUAGGGAGAGUAAUGGACGCUUUCCUGUGAUGGUGAUGAUGGAUUUAGCUUGGAUUAGUAGCUCUCUCUCACAAAACCUAGUUGAUAGUCUAUCUCGUUUGGUCCGUUUUCUUCAGUGUUUGAGUCUAGUCUUGAAUCGUUUGGAGCUAUUUUCUCUUUGGAAGUGUCCUAGAGUGUUGCUGCCCACACCAAGUAUCGUUAAUUUACUAUCGAGUUCCCUCCUUUUAGCACCCUCUACCUCUGUU
Molecule: small RNA, 399 nt
Filed under: Arabidopsis thaliana (thale cress)
Lineage: Eukaryota; Viridiplantae; Streptophyta; Magnoliopsida; Brassicales; Brassicaceae
Description: ATSL129760
Source: RNAcentral